Molecule: ribosomal RNA, 1087 nt
Filed under: uncultured Dechloromonas sp.
Lineage: Bacteria; Pseudomonadati; Pseudomonadota; Betaproteobacteria; Rhodocyclales; Azonexaceae
Description: bacterial SSU rRNA
Rfam family: Bacterial small subunit ribosomal RNA
Source: RNAcentral
AUCGUGGGCACGAUGGCAGCAGUGGGGUAUUUUGGCACAAUGGGGGCAACCCUGAUCCAGACCAUGCCAAGACGUGAGUGAAGAAGGCCUUCGGGUUGUAAAGCUCUUUCAGCCGGGAAGAAAACGCAUGGGUUAAUACCCUGUGUGGAUGACGGUACCGGAAUAAGAAGCACCGGCUAACUACGUGCCAGCAGCCGCGGUAAUACGUAGGGUGCGAGCGUUAAUCGGAAUUACUGGGCGUAAAGCGUGCGCAGGCGGUUUGUUAAGAUAGGCGUGAAAUCCCCGGGCUCAACCUGGGAACUGCGUUUAUGACUGGCAGGCUAGAGUAUGGCAGAGGGGGGUGGAAUUCCACGUGUAGCAGUGAAAUGCGUAGAGAUGUGGAGGAACACCGAUGGCGAAGGCAGCCCCCUGGGCCAAUACUGACGCUCAUGCACGAAAGCGUGGGUAGCAAACAGGAUUAGAUACCCUGGUAGUCCACGCCCUAAACGAUGUCAACUAGGUGUUGGGAGGGUAAAACCUUUUAGUACCGGAGCUAACGCGUGAAGUUGACCGCCUGGGGAGUACGGCCGCAAGGUUAAAACUCAAAGGAAUUGACGGGGACCCGCACAAGCGGUGGAUGAUGUGGAUUAAUUCGAUGCAACGCGAAAAACCUUACCUACCCUUGACAUGUCCGGAAGCCCUUAGAGAUUUGGGUGUGCUCGAAAGAGAGCCGGAACACAGGUGCUGCAUGGCUGUCGUCAGCUCGUGUCGUGAGAUGUUGGGUUAAGUCCCGCAACGAGCGCAACCCUUGUCGUUAAUUGCCAUCAUUUAGUUGGGCACUUUAACGAGACUGCCGGUGACAAACCGGAGGAAGGUGGGGAUGACGUCAAGUCCUCAUGGCCCUUAUGGGUAGGGCUUCACACGUCAUACAAUGGUCGGUACAAAGGGUUGCCAACCCGCGAGGGGGAGCUAAUCCCAGAAAGCCGAUCGUAGUCCGGAUCGUAGGCUGCAACUCGCCUGCGUGAAGUCGGAAUCGCUAGUAAUCGUGGAUCAGCAUGUCACGGUGAAUACGUUCCCGGGCCUUGUACACACCCCCUCUCUCAAUGUA